AAUGAACGUUGGCGGCGUGGAUUAGGCAUGCAAGUCGAGCGUGAUCAGUUCCCUCACUUUGUGCUCUUUGUAGCGAAGAGCGUGAAGUGAGGGGACUGUGAAAGCGGCGAAAGGGAGAGUAACGCGUAGUUACGUACCCCGAGGACCGGAAUAGCUACGGGAAACUGUAGGUAAUGCCGGAUAAUAUCUUCGGAUCAAAGGUGUGAUUCCGCCUUGGGAGCGGACUGCGUUGUACUAGCUAGUUGGUAGGGUAAUGGCCUACCAAGGCGAUGAUGCAUAGCGGGUGUGAGAGCAUGACCCGUCUCACUGGGACUGAGACACUGCCCAGACACCUACGGGUGGCAG
This 345-nucleotide ribosomal RNA is filed under the name uncultured Planctomycetota bacterium. Its description in RNAcentral is "bacterial SSU rRNA". It matches the Rfam family "Bacterial small subunit ribosomal RNA", at positions 29 to 351 of the family's 1533-position model. The record is from RNAcentral. Lineage: Bacteria; Pseudomonadati; Planctomycetota.